This 725-nucleotide ribosomal RNA is filed under the name uncultured Suillus. RNAcentral's name for it is "eukaryotic LSU rRNA". The stretch from base 281 to 435 matches the Rfam family "5.8S ribosomal RNA". The record is from RNAcentral. Lineage: Eukaryota; Fungi; Basidiomycota; Agaricomycetes; Boletales; Suillaceae.
UCUUGGUCAUUUAGAGGAAGUAAAAGUCGUAACAAGGUUUCCGUAGGUGAACCUGCGGAAGGAUCAUUAAAGAAAUGAUAAUCGAGGGCCCAUGGAAAGGAGAGAGGGUUGUAGCUGGCUUUAAGCACGUGCACGCCCUCUUUCUAGACCAUAGGUCCUUAUGGGCGCGGGGCCACCCGCGUCUUCAUAAGCCCCUUCGUGUAGAAAGUCUAUGAAUGUUAUUACCAUCAUCGAGUCGCGACUUCUAGGAGACGCGAUUCUUUGAGAUAAAAGUUAUUACAACUUUCAGCAAUGGAUCUCUUGGCUCUCGCAUCGAUGAAGAACGCAGCGAAUCGCGAUAUGUAAUGUGAAUUGCAGAUCUACAGUGAAUCAUCGAAUCUUUGAACGCACCUUGCGCUUAUCGGUGUUCCGAUGAGCAUGCCUGUUUGAGCGUCAUUAAAUUCUCAACCUCUCUCGAUUCGCUUCGAGAGGGCGCUUGGAUGGUGGAGGCUGCCGGAGACCUGUUUUUUCAGGACUCGGGCUCCUCUNAAAUGUAUUGGCUUGCGGUCGACUUUCGACUAUGCAUGACAAGGCCUUUGGCGUGAUAAUGAUCGCCGCUCGCCGAAGUGCAUGAACGAAUGGUCUCGCGCCUCUAAUCAGUCGAUGUCUUUUCGAAGGCGUCUUCCUCAUUGACGUUUGACCUCAAAUCAGGUAGGAUUACCCGCUGAACUUAAGCAUAUCAAUAA